RNAcentral lists this ribosomal RNA (525 nucleotides) under Tetraclita squamosa. Its description in RNAcentral is "partial 16S ribosomal RNA". It matches the Rfam family "Bacterial large subunit ribosomal RNA", at positions 1821 to 2619 of the family's 2925-position model. Lineage: Eukaryota; Metazoa; Arthropoda; Thecostraca; Balanomorpha; Tetraclitidae. The record is from RNAcentral.
UUCCUCUCAAAAAAGGGAGGUAAGGCCUGCUCACUGAGUUUUGAAGAGCCGCAGUAUCCUGACUGUGCUAAGGUAGCAUAAUCAUUAGUCUUUUAAUUGGAGACUGGUAUGAAUGGCUAAACGAGAAAUCGACUUUUUUUGUUAUAAAAAUUGAAUUUAAUUUUUUAGUGAAAAAGCUAAAAUUUUUCAGAAAGACGAGAAGACCCUAUAGAGUUUUAUAUUUCUGUGAAUUUUUUUUUAAUGGAUUUUUUUGAAAAAAAUUUUUUGGAAAUAUUUUGUUGGGGCGACAUUUAGAUAAGUGAAACUCUUUAUUUUAAAAACUUUAUUGUAAGAAUAAAUUUGAUCCUUUAUAAGAGAUCAUAAGAAAAAAUUACCUUAGGGAUAACAGCGUAAUCUUUUUUGAGAGUUCUAAUCGACAAAAAGGUUUGCGACCUCGAUGUUGGACUAAAAUUUAGGCAGGGUGCAGUAGUUCUGUUUUUGGGUCUGUUCGACCCGUAAUAUUUUACAUGAUCUGAUUCAGACCGG